GAUGAACGCUAGCGGCAGGCUUAAUACAUGCAAGUCGAGGGGCAGCAGGUCUGUAGCAAUACAGAUGCUGGCGACCGGCAAACGGGUGCGGAACACGUACAGAACCUUCCUUUGAGCGGGGAAUAGCCCAGAGAAAUUUGGAUUAAUACCCCAUAGUAUAUUGAAAAGGCAUCUUUUUAAUAUUAAAGAUUUAUCACUCGAAGAUGGCUGUGCGGCUGAUUAGGUAGUUGGCGGGGUAACGGCCCACCAAGCCUACGAUCAGUAACUGGUGUGAGAGCACGACCAGUCACACGGGCACUGAGACACGGGCCCGACUCCUACGGGAGGCAGCAGUAAGGAAUAUUGGUCAAUGGACGAAAGUCUGAACCAGCCAUGCCGCGUGGAGGAUGAAGGUCCUCUGGAUUGUAAACUUCUUUUAUAUGGGACGAAAAAAGGGUUUUCUAACUCGUCUGACGGUACCAUAUGAAUAAGCACCGGCUAACUCCGUGCCAGCAGCCGCGGUAAUACGGAGGGUGCAAGCGUUAUCCGGAUUCACUGGGUUUAAAGGGUGCGUAGGUGGGUUGGUAAGUCAGUGGUGAAAUCCCCGAGCUUAACUUGGGAACUGCCAUUGAUACUAUCAGUCUUGAAUAUCGUGGAGGUUA
This 641-nucleotide ribosomal RNA is filed under the name uncultured Sphingobacteriales bacterium. Its description in RNAcentral is "bacterial SSU rRNA". It matches the Rfam family "Bacterial small subunit ribosomal RNA", at positions 28 to 660 of the family's 1533-position model. Lineage: Bacteria; Pseudomonadati; Bacteroidota; Sphingobacteriia; Sphingobacteriales. The record is from RNAcentral.